UUUGGGAGGUCGGGCCAUCAGUUUCGGCGUUUUUUCCAGAGAGGCAGGCUCACAGCGAUAUCGCGAGAGACGGGAAUUGCUCUGUCACGCAAGCUGGAGUGCAGUGGUGCCAUCUCGGCUCACUGUGACCUCUGCCUCCUGGGCUCAAGCCAUCCUCCCACCUCAGCCCUUCAAGUAGCUGGGAUUACAGGUCACCAUCCUCUCACUCGCCUCUGACUUUUCGCACAGGAGAGAGCUGGUCGAAUAGUACAAUUCCCCGAUGUGAAUGGGGAGAAGCUGGGGAAAGGAAGAAUGAUCUUCAGGCAGUAAGGGCCCCUACUCCAGUAUGAUUGGUGUCCUUAUAAAAAGGAGAAAUUGGACACAGACACCCUACCAAGAAGAACACUAUGUGAAGAUGAAGGCAGAGAUCAGGGUGAUGCCUCUACUUGCUGAGAAACUCCUACAGUUGCCAGCCCACCACUAGAAGCAAAGGAAGAAGCACAGCCCUCAGAAGGAACCAACCCUGCUAAUGCCUUGGUCUUGGACUUGCAGCCUCCAGAACAGCGAGCCAAUACAUUCCUGUGGUUUAAGCCACUGACUGUGGCACUUUAUUACAGCAGCACUAGGAAACUCAUACAGGAGGUGACAGUGCUCAGAUGAAACAGGACCUUCCACUUCCAUGGCAAAGCCCUCAUCUUUCGUGCCCAUGCGCCAUUUGAUCUGCACACAAAUCACUGAGCAGGUUCCUCAGCUAUUAUUAUCCCCACCUUUCAGAUGGAAAGAACUGAAGCUCAAGAGGGCCAAAGAAAUUUGGCUAUGGCUUUCUUUAUUUUCUUUUUCAUGGGCAGAAGUAGAUUUCAGUUUUGGUCCCUUUCCACUACCAUAUCAGGUUGCCUUAAGGCAACUUUGAAAAGUCUAAAAUAUUAAACAGUUUGUGAAGUUAUUAUCAUUAUUCAUAAAGGACAGCGCGAGGUUAGUCUUACCCUAGAGAGCCCCAUUGUUGGCCCAAAGCAUCUUGCCAGGAGCCCUAUAGGACCAUGUUUUCAAGGCCCCCAAAGAGCACAGGGCUAUUGGUCCAUCCCAGCUCCUGGAAUGGCUCAUUGUACCCACCCUGCCUCCAGCUGAGGAGCCAGGGAGAAGCACUGACCCCUGAUCUUGCUAUCCCUUCCAUUACACUCUUGCCAGAGGAGCUUUUUUCAGGGGUGGCCGCUUCCCUCUCCUCAAGAGAAUUCUGGGGACCAACCAGCUCAGGCCUGCUGUUGGCCUCAGGGUCACAUCUCACCCAGACACCCCCACCAUUCCCUCAGGUCUAGGGAUGCUGCUCCCCUACCAUGGGAUCUUCUUUUUAUUUUUAUUUAUUUAUAUUUUCCUUAUGCCUAGUGUAAAGGGAUUUCUUUUCUUUUUUGUUUUUGUUUUUUUUUUGAGAUGGAGUCUUGCUCUGUCACCCAGGCUGGAGUGCAGUGCAGUGGCGCUAUCUCGGCUCACUGCAACCUCCACCUCCUGGGUUCAAGUGAUUCUCCUGCCUCAGCCUCCCAGGAGCUGGGAUUACAGGUGUGCCACCACAUUUGGCUAAUUUUUUUACUUUUAGUAGAGAUGGGGUUUCACCAUGUUGGCCAGGCUAGUCUCGAUCUCCUGACCUCAGGUGAUCCACCCGCCUCAGCCUCCCAGAAUGCUGGGAUUACAGGCAUGAGCCACCGCUCCCAGCCAGGAUCUUCUUUUUAAAGCUAUCACCACCCACUCUCAUUCCCCAGGACUCUCCUCACCCCUCCGGCUGCAAAGGCAGCUGGUGUCCCUACUGGCUCCUUCCUUUCUGCCCCUAAAGACAGGCACACAGGUGAUUUUCCUUUUAAGUGUUUUUCUGUGGAUUACUGCGGGGAAAUUGACAGGGGCUACAGGGGCUGAUAAAAGGAAUAAUCUUUGAUAUUCUUUCAGUUGGGUCGCUGAUUUUCUUGCUGGGCUGACAAGAGCAAUCUUCCCUACUUGGAAUCUUGGUUUUAUUCCUUAGCAUGGGCCUUAUCAAACCUACUUUUUAAUGAAGGGAGAAUGAAGAAGCCAUUGAAGCAGACCUCUAGCUGCCAGUCAGGUCUGCUCUGAAGGCUGCCUAUCUGCGGGGACAUGUGACUUCUGGGGCUUUCCAGAUUAAGUAAUGCUCACCCCACAUGUCUGAAAUUCUCCAAACACUAUUCCGGCCCUGCUGUGAUUCUUAGAGCAGAGGUUCUUUGCCUUUUUAGUGUAAUGGAUCCCUCAGCAACUUGGUGAGCCCUUCUCAGAAUAAAGUUUCUAAUGCAGAAAGUAAAACACAUGGGAUAAUAAGGGAAGUCAUGUCCUUUGAAAUCCUUAUCAAAAAUAUUUUUCAAAUUUUGUGAUAUAAUAAGUUUGGUUGCUAUUAUAUAGCAUAAUAUAACUUCAUAUCUAAUAGCUAUUGUUAUUUUGAAGUAGUGGUGAAUAUAUAUGCUAUUUUGAGAUGUCUAAAACAACUGUAAUGUGUUACAAAAAUAUCCAUGAUUUCUAUCGGUGACAAAGUCAAAAGUAUCGUGAAUACGUCUGUGAUUUGCAAGCUACAUCCAAAAUGGAAGGAAAUCCUAAUGUUUGGUUAGUGAUUGAUAAAAAUAAAGAUGUGGGCGGGCGCGGUGGCUCACGCCUGUAAUCCCAGCACUUUGGGAAGCCAAGGCGGGCAGAUCAUGAAGUCAGGAGAUCAAGAUCAUCCUGGCCAGCAUGGUGAAACGCCGUCUCUACUAAAAAUAAAAAAAUUAGCUGGGCAUGGUGGCGUGUGUCUGUAGUCCCAGCUACUUGGGAGGCUGAGACAGGAGAAUCACUUGAACCCAGGAGGCG
This 2811-nucleotide long non-coding RNA is filed under the name Homo sapiens (human). RNAcentral's name for it is "HSALNT0012373". Lineage: Eukaryota; Metazoa; Chordata; Mammalia; Primates; Hominidae. The record is from RNAcentral.